UUGCUUUGGCACCAAAUACAGUAACAUUGGAACAAUGCAGAGAAGACUAGCAUGGCCCCUGUGCAAGGAUGACAUGCAAAUUUGUUAAGCAUUCCAUAUUGGA
Molecule: small nuclear RNA, 103 nt
Organism: Mustela erminea (ermine)
Lineage: Eukaryota; Metazoa; Chordata; Mammalia; Carnivora; Mustelidae
Source: RefSeq, a predicted model, not a curated record